GCGUGAGUGGCUCAGGGGUAGAGCAUCUCCUUGCCAAGGAGAGGGUCGCGGGUUCGAAUCCCGUCUCGCGCU
This 72-nucleotide transfer RNA is filed under the name Niameybacter sp. RNAcentral describes it as "tRNA-Gly". It matches the Rfam family "tRNA". From Rfam's summary of the family: Transfer RNA (tRNA) molecules are approximately 80 nucleotides in length. Their secondary structure includes four short double-helical elements and three loops (D, anti-codon, and T loops). RNAcentral also lists the same sequence under 2 other names. Lineage: Bacteria; Bacillati; Bacillota; Clostridia; Lachnospirales; Lachnospiraceae. The record is from RNAcentral.